GGCUCCAUGGUUUAGUUGGUUAAAGCGCCUGUCUAGUAAACAGGAGAUCGUGGGUUCAAAUCCCAGCAGGGCCU
RNAcentral lists this transfer RNA (74 nucleotides) under Ornithorhynchus anatinus (platypus). It matches the Rfam family "tRNA". Rfam says of the family: Transfer RNA (tRNA) molecules are approximately 80 nucleotides in length. Their secondary structure includes four short double-helical elements and three loops (D, anti-codon, and T loops). Further hydrogen bonds mediate the characteristic L-shaped molecular structure. tRNAs have two regions of fundamental functional importance: the anti-codon, which is responsible for specific mRNA codon recognition, and the 3' end, to which the tRNAs corresponding amino acid is attached (by aminoacyl-tRNA synthetases). tRNAs cope with the degeneracy of the genetic code in two manners: having more than one tRNA (with a specific anti-codon) for a particular amino acid; and 'wobble' base-pairing, i.e. permitting non-standard base-pairing at the 3rd anti-codon position. The record is from Rfam by way of RNAcentral. Lineage: Eukaryota; Metazoa; Chordata; Mammalia; Monotremata; Ornithorhynchidae.